This 251-nucleotide ribosomal RNA is filed under the name uncultured prokaryote. RNAcentral describes it as "partial 16S rRNA". It matches the Rfam family "Bacterial small subunit ribosomal RNA", at positions 525 to 775 of the family's 1533-position model. The record is from RNAcentral.
ACGGAGGGUGCGAGCGUUAAUCGGAAUCACUGGGCGUAAAGCGCACGUAGGCGGUGUCGUAAGUCGGAUGUGAAAGCCCUCGGCUCAACCGGGGAACUGCAUUCGAUACUGCGACGCUUGAGUGCCGGAGAGGGUGGCGGAAUUCCAGGUGGUGGACUUGGGUGCGUGGAUAUGUGGAGGAGGGGCAGUGGAGUGGGCAUCAAACAGGCUGAGAUUUCGGUAUGCUGUGGGGGAGAGUGGGGAAUGAGGUG